AUGGGCGCCCGUUGCCAUCCCUAGGUGAAAUGAAAGGUAUGAUUAUGAGUUCAAAAUUAAUUAGUAUAUUUAUUUUUUUAUUUGUCUUGAAGCUAGCUAGCUAGCUAGCAUGGUUGAUGCAUGUAUGUUUUAGAUGAAUGAAUGAAAUUAGAAGAAGCAGGUAGUAAUAAAGUAAGUAAGUACCGUUUUUGCGAUGGUUGAUGCAACAGCAGGUGGUAGAAAGAGCGAGGCUACAGAGACGGGUGACAGGGAAAAUGAUAGUUUGCCAAAUAUUAUUAUUAUUAUGCAUCAAUUUCUCUUUGCCUUUGCCUAGUAACACGGUGUUGUUGUUCUUCUUCUUAGAACACUUUUUCUUAUUCUUCUUCUUCUUCUUCUUACUAUUACUAUUACUCUCCAGUACCCCAUCAUCAUCAUCAUCAUCAUGAUGACCACUGUGUGGGUGUGGCACCACAAAUAUUCUCUUUAACCCGGCCAGUUCCACUGAUUCUCUCUAUCUUCUUCUUGUUGUGUAAAGAAAGAUGAAAGAACACACGGAUUGAUUGAUUGAUUUAUUGAUUUAUUGAUAGAUAUAAAGAGAUCGAAAAAGGUUGUUGUGUUGUGUUGUGUUGUGUUUAGAUGGAGAGAGUAGAGUUAAUUGGGUGUAUGUAUGUAUGUAUGUAUGUGUUUAUUUCUUAACAAC
RNAcentral lists this long non-coding RNA (679 nucleotides) under Trifolium pratense (red clover). Its description in RNAcentral is "long non-coding RNA (TPRA_LNC013684)". Lineage: Eukaryota; Viridiplantae; Streptophyta; Magnoliopsida; Fabales; Fabaceae. The record is from RNAcentral.